UUUGUCUCCCGCUGGUGCUGGCACAGGAACUUGGGAUCUGUCUCCUCUUUCGCCUCCUGCACCUUGGGAGCCCCGGGCUACUCUCUCACAGCCCUUGUUGCCCUGCGAUCUGUAGGUCCUUGGGGACGCAUAGUUAAGGUGCCAGGACAUCCUGGAAGCUGGGAAAUGUGUGAAGAUUUCUUCCAGACCAUGGCUGGAGAAGGAAAGAAGGUGUGUUUUGCCUGAUUCAGGGACUAUAGAGAGAACCAAGUUCUGCAGGCCUGUCACCUAAGUAUCAGGGCGGAGAGACCUUCCUUCCCCACGGGUUUGAGACUAUGGCUAAGUGGUGAGCCUUGGGGAGAUGCAGAAAGGAUCCAUCCCAGGCACUUGGCUAGAGGUAAGUAAAAAUAGCCUUUGGGUCAGAAGACCUGAUAGUUUGGGUACUCGUCUGAACAUAAGUCCCCAUCUUCCCAGAAAUGUCGUCUUUUGUCUGCAACAACUGGCUGGAGAAAUAUUUCAGAAAGAUGUGUGCCUGGAACACCCAAAGGCGUACCUUUCCUUUCUCCUUGGCAUAGGCCUUGCAGCACUGAGGAAAGACCAGGUUUGCAACGGAGCCUUCAAUACUCUUCAUCCCUAUGGAUCUCAGGGGCUCAUAGGGUGACAGGAGAGGAGACAAGCUAGCUUGGGAAGAGUCUUUGUCCUUCAGCUUCUCCCCAACUGAAACACUAUAUACUUGGGGCCACAGUUCAUAGCAAAACACACAUGCUCUCUUUCUUUGUCUCACACUCACAUCUCGGGAACCCAACAACUUGAUGGCAGGUAGCUCUGGGUAUCCUUGGUCUGGCAUUCACCCACUGGGCAUCUAAGCUGUCCUAAAGCUCUUUUCAAUCACUUCUCACUCUUUCCAGGCCCAUGUGGGUAGGUGUUCCAGGCUUCACUCUUUC
Molecule: long non-coding RNA, 923 nt
Filed under: Pan troglodytes (chimpanzee)
Lineage: Eukaryota; Metazoa; Chordata; Mammalia; Primates; Hominidae
Description: long non-coding RNA NONPTRT016483
Source: RNAcentral